Priapulus caudatus is the source of this 295-nucleotide long non-coding RNA. RefSeq lists it as uncharacterized. The record is from RefSeq and is a predicted model, not a curated record. The transcript has 3 exons. NCBI's taxonomy places the organism in Eukaryota, Metazoa, Priapulida, Priapulimorpha, Priapulimorphida, Priapulidae.
UUGUCUGUUUCUCUCAGAUCUACUGUUGUUGGUGAUAAGGAGCGCAGUGUACAUGUACACACAGCUACCGGAGUAUUGCUUAAACUAAGGCAGGACUUCUAUACAAAGCUAACUAAACACCGAUCUACUGCUGUUGGUGAUACGGAGCGCAGUGUACCUGUACACAGCUACCGGAGUAUUGCUUAAACUAAGGCAGGGCUUCUAUACAAAGCUAACUAAACACCGAUGCCGCUGUUUCAUGACAUCAGUGAAGGCGAGUUGAGGAGAGGCGACCACAUUUACGUGAGGCGGUUCG